Molecule: ribosomal RNA, 469 nt
Filed under: uncultured bacterium
Lineage: Bacteria
Description: partial 16S ribosomal RNA
Rfam family: Bacterial small subunit ribosomal RNA
Source: RNAcentral
GACGAACGCUGGCGGCGUGCUUAACACAUGCAAGUCGAACGGAAAGGCCCUGCUUGCAGGGCGCUUGAGUGGCGAACGGGUGAGUAACACGUGGGUGAUCUGCUCCUUACUUUGGGAUAAGCCUGGGAAACUGGGUCUAUUACUGGAUAGGACCAUGCUGUAGGUGGUGUGGUGGUCAGAUUAGUUUCGGUAAGGGAUGAGCUCGCGGCCUAUCAGCUUGUUGGUGGGGUAAUGGCCUACCAAGGCGUCGACGGGUAGCCGGCCAGAGAGGGUGGAAGGCAACGUUGGGACUGCGACACGGCGCAGACGCCUACGGGAGGCAGCAGUGGGGAAUAGUGCACAAUGGGCGCAAGCCGGGUGCAGCGACGCCGCGUGGGGGAUGACGGCCUUCAGGUUGUAAGCUACUUUCGGCCGUUACGAAGCCCUUGUGGUGACGGUAGUAGUAGAAGAAGCACCGGCUAACUACGUG